Molecule: transfer RNA, 72 nt
Organism: Ipomoea nil (Japanese morning glory)
Lineage: Eukaryota; Viridiplantae; Streptophyta; Magnoliopsida; Solanales; Convolvulaceae
Rfam family: tRNA
About the family: Transfer RNA (tRNA) molecules are approximately 80 nucleotides in length.
Source: Rfam
GCACCAGUGGUCUAGUGGUAGAAUAGUACCCGUCCCACGAUAUAGACCUGGGUUCGAUUCUUGGCUGGUGCA